Molecule: ribosomal RNA, 253 nt
Filed under: uncultured bacterium
Lineage: Bacteria
Description: partial 16S ribosomal RNA
Rfam family: Bacterial small subunit ribosomal RNA
Source: RNAcentral
UACGUAGGGGGCAAGCGUUGUCCGGAUUUAUUGGGCGUAAAGAGCGUGUAGGCGGCCAGACAGGUCCGUUGUGAAAACCCGAGGCUCAACCUCGAGACGCCGAUGGAAACCGUCUGGCUAGAGUCCGGAAGAGGAGAGUGGAAUUCCUGGUGUAGCGGUGAAAUGCGCAGAUAUCAGGAAGAACACCCGUGGCUAAGGCGGCUCUCUAGUACGGUACUGACGCUGAGACGCGAAAGCGUGGGGAGCGAACAGG